GGUCCUGUAGUGUAGCGGUUAUCACAGCGGAUUCUGAUUAAUGGCUUUCCGUUAACCCAGGUUCGAGUCCUGGCAGGACCU
RNAcentral lists this transfer RNA (81 nucleotides) under Vararia minispora EC-137. RNAcentral's name for it is "tRNA-Gln". It matches the Rfam family "tRNA". Rfam says of the family: Transfer RNA (tRNA) molecules are approximately 80 nucleotides in length. Their secondary structure includes four short double-helical elements and three loops (D, anti-codon, and T loops). The record is from RNAcentral. Lineage: Eukaryota; Fungi; Basidiomycota; Agaricomycetes; Russulales; Lachnocladiaceae.